UACGUAGGCAGCAAGCGUUGUUCGGAAUUACUGGGCGUAAAGAGUGUGUAGGCGGUGCUCCAAGUCUGGUGUGAAAUCUCCCGGCUUAACUGGGAGGGUGCAUUAGAAACUGGAAUGCUAGAGGAUGGGAGAGGUAAGCGGAAUUCCUGGUGUAGCGGUGAAAUGCGUAGAUAUCUGGAGGAACACCGGUGGCGAAGGCGGCAUCCUGGACCAAUACUGACACUGAGGAGCGAAAGCCAGGGGAGCAAACGGG
This 253-nucleotide ribosomal RNA is filed under the name uncultured bacterium. Its description in RNAcentral is "partial 16S ribosomal RNA". It matches the Rfam family "Bacterial small subunit ribosomal RNA", at positions 524 to 776 of the family's 1533-position model. The record is from RNAcentral.